Delphinapterus leucas (beluga whale) is the source of this 1053-nucleotide non-coding RNA. NCBI's taxonomy places the organism in Eukaryota, Metazoa, Chordata, Mammalia, Artiodactyla, Monodontidae. The record is from RefSeq and is a predicted model, not a curated record.
CUCCCAGGGCUACAUGUAGGGCAGUGGCUGGGUCUGCUUGCUGGGGUCAGGAAGGCUGUUCUUCCAGGAAGGGCUGCAAAGACCCUGGGAACGGGACCAGCCCAGCUCACAAGUAUGAAGAGAAUGUCGGGAGAGGAAGUGGUGGCUGUGAGUCAGCAUGAGUCAUCUCGUUCCAAUGAGAAUGAAGAUUGAGGUGUGCGCCUUUUUUUUUUUGAGUCUCAAUCGUGUGGACAUCAUUGGGAAUGGAGGGAAAUAACUGACUGUAUGGUAGCUGCUUUUUAAGUUUCAAACUGACAUUCCAGGCGGGCUGUGCCUGAGCCAACAUCUGUUCUCACAUCUUCGCAGCCUGGUCCUGGGAAGGUGGAGCCCUCAGCUUCUCCCUGCCUUCGGCUGGCGCUGCCCACCUGAACAUCAUCAGGUGAUGCUGCAGAUCCAGAGAUCCACACUGAGGACCACUGGUUAGGGCCAUGGGCCAUGGGUGACUGGGAAACCUAGAAGCCUGUAGAUUGUCUCCAUUUCCCCUCUAAUCCUGAGCUGCUCUUCGUGUGUUCUAGACCAACCUUAGAGGUGAGAGAGAUUCUCCUAAAGCAGCAACCUGAGAGGGCGGAUGCUUAAAGGAGAGCACACAUCUGGAGCAGUAUCUAGCGGAUGGGAUGAGCUCAACAAACGAUAGCCAAGAGGACCCGGCGGCCAAGAGGACCCGGCUGUGUUCGGGGAAGCCCUGGGGAAGGCUCGCACUCUGCUGAUGGAUUAGUUGAAGGCUGAAACUUUCUGAACCACGGAAUAACUGGGAGAUUAAACAGGAAGCUUUAUGACACACUUGCUCGAAAAUGACACAAGCACCAAAAAACCAGGACUCAGCCCCCUGCAGCACCUCUACCUGCUGCCCACGGCCGAGUGCAGGGGAAGGGCUGGCCCUGCGACCUGACUCCAUCUGCCAUGGACUCUAAGGGCCUCCACAUUCCGUGAUGAUGUCUCUGCGAUAUUGUGGUUAGGGUCUAGUCUGGCCAGUCUCUGUGUGUCUUCAUCCCUUUUCCUUCAUUAAAAGCAUAA